UGGGGAAUUUUGGCCAAUGGGCGCAAGCCUGAUCCAGCCAUGCCGCGUGCAGGAUGAAGGCCUUCGGGUUGUAAACUGCUUUUGUACGGAACGAAAAGGUGCCUUCUAAUAAAGGGCGCUCAUGACGGUACCGUAAGAAUAAGCACCGGCUAACUACGUGCCAGCAGCCGCGGUAAUACGAAGGGUGCAAGCGUUACUCGGAAUUACUGGGCGUAAAGCGUGCGUAGGUGGUUGUUUAAGUCUGAUGUGAAAGCCCUGGGCUCAACCUGGGAAUGGCAUUGGAAACUGGGCAGCUAGAGUGCGGUAGGGGGUAGUGGCAUUCCCGGUGUAGCAGUGAAAUGCGUAGAGAUCGGGAGGAACAUCUGUGGCGAAGGCGACUGCCUGGACCAGCACUGACACUGAGGCACGAAAGCGUGGG
RNAcentral lists this ribosomal RNA (418 nucleotides) under uncultured bacterium. RNAcentral describes it as "bacterial SSU rRNA". It matches the Rfam family "Bacterial small subunit ribosomal RNA", at positions 355 to 765 of the family's 1533-position model. The record is from RNAcentral.